AACAGGAGUUCAGGAAACCAGGUUAAUGGUGAUAUGAAGUACUACUUCCAAGAUGGAGACACCAAAACACCAGCAGCCUUCCUGGAUGAGCUAACACCUGUAUUGGGGAAUGUCCUGAUACGUUUUCGUCUAGUUUUUAAGAACUUGACUAGAGUACCUAGUGAGGCUGAUGUUCUCAAUGCUGCUAAUGCUCUGCUGGACUCAAAGAUCAGAAGAGCACAAUGUCUUAUCACAGCAAACCAGCAACUCCAUUUCCAGGAAUGCACCGCCAACUAGAAACAUGGUCGAAGAUGACUACACUUCCCACGCACACACGCAUGCAUGCAUGCACGCACCCACACACACACACACACACCCACACACACCCAAACACGCUUCACCUUCCCCAGAGUUCUAAUCACACACACCUGUUGCCAAUCUCACGCACACUCACGCCAUACUAUAUGAGAGACUAUUUGGACACUUUGUAUUUGUGAAGUGUACGCUCAGUUCCCUAGUGUCUCUGUCUAUUCAAAGUCUUAUUGUUGUGUUUGUUUAAUCUGGUUUUGACUUUGUUCUCAUUAAUGACCUUGUCACUACCCCUAGUCUUGUUUGGACUGUUCGCAUGAUUGCCUGACCUCUGCCUGUCUAUGGUUGUUGACCUGUCUUACCCUUUGGACUUGUUGUUUUUUGAUUAAAUUACCAAUCCUGCACUGUCUACAUCUCCAUUUCAUGACACACGAGCUCUUCUAACACAAAACUGAGUGAUCCUGUGAACAUACAGAAUGUCACUUUGUUACGCACUCGCGGUAGAUGGCACUGCGGCGCGGCUUCAGAGAGCGCACGUGCACGGGACUGAACUCUAGUAUACGGACACGUGUCUUCCUGUUCCGGUGUUGGUUUAUGUUCAAGGGUGUCUCAUUAUUGGUUCCAGCUGUCUGUACUUAAGGGUGAUUAUGUUGGUUAUUUAAACUCCUGGUGUUGCUGUGCACUUCACGCAGUAUUACCCGUAUAGUUGAAAGUGAUAGUGAAUGCGUUAAAUAUGCUAUGCUAAGUCUUAUUUCCACGUCCUGCUCUCAUUCCAUGCCUAGACUUUGGUUCCAUGUUUAACCUAGUUAAUCUUGUUCAGUAUAGACCACAUUUCCUGUGUUUUGUCUGCUGCAUGAAAAUAAAGACGUUGAUCUGCACCUGCUUCUGCUACCGUUUUGUAACACACUUAUGAAAAAAUUGGCAACAACUACAUUAUAAGCUUUGCAUUUCAAAUCAGCAAUGUGACCAUCUCCAAGGACCUUCAGUUGAGGAACGGAACUGUUACGCCACGGCCAGCAGAGGGCACUGCGACGGUGACCUGCAUCCGCCUCCAGUCUCGUUCCGUGACAGGAACAUAUGAUUUUAUACAAAACACCGUCAACAGCCUGAUUUCCCUCAUGGAUUGGGACAAACCCUUUUUGAGGUAAAGGGGUUCUGUACUUGCCUGAACUUCAGGGUUAGGUCACCAGGAGCUUAGAGCUUAACAGGGCUACCUUGUUGAACAGGUAUGAAGAUGUCAGACAAAUGUGAUCCCCCAUGAAAUAAAAUAAAGACUAAGUAUAAUCUGCCUGGAUUAGGGUUACUAAGACCCACCCCAUGAGCUAGGCCUAUUGGUGGUGUCUGCAGGCGAGUACUGGGGUGACCGGGUCAUACAUCUAUCCUGAAAUGGUGACUUGGAGCCAUCUUGUGAGCUCAUCGCCUAUACAGGUGCAUCUCAAAAAAAUAAAUAUCAUGGACAAAUUUUUUUUCGUAAUUUGAUUCUAAAAGUGGAACUUCCAUGUAUUAUAAAUUUAUUACACAUAAAGAAAUAUUUCAAGCCUUUUUUUUAUCUUGAUUACGGCUUACAGCUCAUGGAAAUAAAUCCAAUAUCUCAAAAUAUUAGAAUAAAGAAUUUAUAAUACAGAAAUGUUGACCUUCUGAAAAGUAUGAUAAUUUAUGUGCUUAUACUCGGUCGGGGCUUUAAUCCGGUUGCAGGAAUUACUGCAUCAGUGCGGCGUGGCAUGGGGUCAAUCAGCAUGUGGCACUGCUGAGGUGUUCUGAAAGACCAGGUUGCUUUGAUAGUGGUCUUCAGCUCGUCUGUAUUGUUCGGUCUGGUGUCUCUCAUAGAUUCUCUAUGGGGUUCGGGUCAGGCGAGUCGGCUGUUCAAUCAAACACAGUAAUACCAUGGUCAGCAAACCAGUUACUAAUAGUUUUGCCACUGUUGGCAGGUGCCAAGUCCAAGUGCUGGAAAAGGAAAUCAGCAUCUCCAUAAAGCUCGUCAGCAGAUGGAAGCAUGAAGUGCUCUAAAAUCUCCUGGUAGAUGCUGCAUUGACUCUCAACUUGAGAAAACACAGUGGACCAACACCAGCUGAUGACAUGGCACCUCAAAUCAUCACUGACUGUAGAAACUUCACACUGGACUUCAAGCAACUUGGAUUCUGUUCCUCUCCACUCUUCCUCCAGACUCUGGGACCUUGAUUUCCAAAUGAAAUGCAAAAUUUACUUUCAUCUGAAAAGAGGACUUUGGACCACUGAGCAAUGGUCCAGUUCUUUUUAAAGGCUCAGGAAACCUUUGCAGGUGUUUUGAGUUAAAUAGCUGAUUAGAGCUCUUCUCAGGUUGCUAUUUCUGUAUUAUAAAUUCUUUAUUCUAAUAUUUUGAGAUGCUGGAUUUUUGAUGUCCUUGAGCUGUAAGCCGUAAUCAUCAAGAUUAAAACAAAAAAAGCUUGAAAUAAUACAUUAUUCAGUUAAGAGGUAUAGGAGAGCCAGAAUGGAAUAUUCAUGAAAACAUUUCAAGAAGCAAAAAGUCUAGCUUGAGAGAAGUUUCGAAAGACAGACAAUUUGAGUCUCCCCAAAGAAUUUUCACUUUACCUGUGGUCACUAGCUGUGAGUAUUGAGCAAAUGAAUUAGGUCCCAAGUACAGGCAGCACAACUGACAUUUUCUCUGCAGACUUAAUCUUUGAGAUAAGGUGAGGAGUUAAACAAUCUGGGAGAGCCUCAGAAUAGAGAUGCUGCUACAUGUUACAUAAUUCUAUUUCUGAUCAUCUCUGUAUGAAGCAACACCCACUAUUGUCAAGUUGCAUAAAAAUAGCUUCUGUCAUGAACAUGGGAAUAUGAUUCCUGAGUCCACUCCUUGUUGCACCUUUAUAAGCUUAGCUUUUGGGUAAAUCAUCUUCCAGAGAGACAGAGUUGUCAUUAAGGAUAUUGCUGAGGGAGUUACAGGGAACAGAUUAUUGUUUUAGAUCAGAUGGUUAUGACUAAAAUAAGGUAAUAUCUCAUUAUGGUUUUUUGUACUCUCAUUUUGGCUUCUAAUCAUCAAUUUGCACCUUUUCCCCUCACAUUUAGUGCAAUAAAGUAACAGUUAAACUGCAAAUUCAUAUAUUCUGAUUUUGUUUGUAAAAUUGCAUAAUUUUUUUAUUAUUAUUAUUGGGGAUGCUAUUGUGAUAUUGUAGAGUUGUUGAAUUAUUGACAUUUUCAAAUUGCUAUAUUGAACAUUCAUAAUAAUUAAAAAUCCAAUUUGAUUUAA
Ictalurus punctatus (channel catfish) is the source of this 3511-nucleotide RNA transcript. RefSeq lists it as uncharacterized. The record is from RefSeq and is a predicted model, not a curated record. The transcript has 5 exons. NCBI's taxonomy places the organism in Eukaryota, Metazoa, Chordata, Actinopteri, Siluriformes, Ictaluridae.